GACGAACGCUGGCGGCGGGCUUAACACAUGCAAGUCGAACGGAAAGGCCUUCUUUCCCUUGUGGUUUGGGGGUACGCGAGUGGCGAACGGGGGAGUAACACGUGAUUGAUCUGCCCCCAACUUGUGUAUAAGCCUGGGAAACGGGGUCUAAUUCUCCAUAGGACUGCAGGGUGGUGCCUGUGGUGGAAAACGAUUUUCUAGUGGUAGGGGAUGAGCUCGCGGCCUAUCAGCUUGUUGGUGGGGUAAUGGCCUACCAAGGCGGCGACGGGUAGCCGGGCUGAGAGUGUGGCCCGCCACAUUGGGACUGAGAUACGGCCCCGACUCCGACGCAAGGCAGCAGAGGGGAAUAUUGCACGAUGGGCGGAAGCCUGAUGCAGCGACGCCGGGUGGGGGAUGACGCGCUUCGGGUUGUACACUCCUUUCGACCGAGAGGAAGCCACCUGGUUGGACGGGUGGUGACGGUAGUGGUAGAAGAAGCCCCGGCUAACUACGUG
Molecule: ribosomal RNA, 494 nt
Filed under: uncultured bacterium
Lineage: Bacteria
Description: partial 16S ribosomal RNA
Rfam family: Bacterial small subunit ribosomal RNA
Source: RNAcentral